AUGCUCUUCCCCCUCAUCUCCUAUGACUCGUCACUGCCGGAUGAGACACAGGUGACCUUGGGUUGUCUGGCCAAUGACUUUGUGCCCAUACCCAUCACCUUCUCCUGGACAUUCAAGAACAGCUCAAGCAUCAGCAGCCAGAACAUCCACAGUUUCCCCGAGGUCUUCACAGGUAGCAAGUGCAUGGCCACAUCCCAAGUGCUGUUGCCAUCUGCGUCCAUCCUGCAAGACACCAAUGAUUAUUUGGUAUGCCACGCCAAGCACAGCGCAGGAAACAGGGAUGUGAAGGUGUUCCUGCCAGUCAACAUAGAGCUGCCCCCGAAUGUGAGUGUCUUCAUCCCGCCCCACAACUCCUUCUCCAGCAACAGCCCACACACAUCUCAGCUCAUCUGCCAGGCCUCAGGCUUCAGACCCCGCACCAUCGCCAUGUCCUGGUUACACGAUGGCCGUCCGGUGCAGCCCAGCCUGAUGUCAACCAGCGCAGUGGAGGCUGAGCCCCAGGGUUCAGAGCCCACAACCUUCAGGGUCAUCAGCAGACUAUCUAUCGCUGAGUGUGACUGGCUCAGCCAGAGCGUAUUCACCUGCCAGGCGCUACACAAGGGCCUCGCUUUUCAGAAGAAUGUGUCAUACUCCUGCACAGGAGCCUGCACCUCCACGGGCAUCAGCGUCUUCCUGCUGCCCCCCUCCUUCGCCAGCAUCUUCCUCACCCAGUCUGCCCAGCUGACCUGCCUGGUCACGGGCCUGACCACCUACAACAGCCUGGAGAUCUCGUGGAGCCGCCAGAAUGGGGAGGCCCUGCAGACACAUGUCAACAUCUCCGAGAGUCACCCCAACUCCACCUUCAGUGCCAAGGGCUACGCCAGCGUCUGCCGCGAGGAAUGGGAGUCAGGGGAGAAGUUCACGUGCACUGUGCAGCACGCCGAUCUGCCCUCCCCGCUAAAGCAGAGCUUCUCCCGGUCCAAGGAUGUGGUGAAGCACCAGCCUUCUGUGUUCGUGCUGCCACCUGCCCAGGAGCAGCUGAAACUGCGCGAGUCAGCCUCCAUCAGCUGCCUAGUGAAGGACUUCUCACCGCCCGAUGUCUUUGUCCAGUGGCAGCAUCACGGGCAGCCCGUGGACCCUGAGCACUAUGUGACCAGUGCCCCUACACCUGAGCCCCAGAACUCCGGCUUCUACUUUGUCUACAGCAUCCUGACAGUGAGCGAGAAGGACUGGAGCUCUGGAGAGUCCUUCUCCUGCAUCGUGGGCCAUGAGGCCCUGCCCCUGUCAGUGACUGAGAAGGCCGUGGACAAGUCGUCCGGUAAACCCACCCUGUACAAUGUGUCUCUCAUUCUGUCUGACACUGCCAACACCUGCUUCUGA
Non-coding RNA from Suncus etruscus (white-toothed pygmy shrew), 1359 nucleotides. NCBI's taxonomy places the organism in Eukaryota, Metazoa, Chordata, Mammalia, Eulipotyphla, Soricidae. The record is from the annotation of a RefSeq genome assembly.